AUCGAGCUGACGAGUCCUAAAUGGGACGAAACGCGCGUCCUCCAU
This 45-nucleotide non-coding RNA is filed under the name Schistosoma margrebowiei. The record is from RNAcentral. Lineage: Eukaryota; Metazoa; Platyhelminthes; Trematoda; Strigeidida; Schistosomatidae.